This 253-nucleotide ribosomal RNA is filed under the name uncultured bacterium. RNAcentral's name for it is "partial 16S ribosomal RNA". It matches the Rfam family "Bacterial small subunit ribosomal RNA", at positions 524 to 776 of the family's 1533-position model. The record is from RNAcentral.
UACAGAGGUGGCAAGCGUUGUUCGGAAUUACUGGGCGUAAAGGGCGCGUAGGCGGCCAUCUAAGUCAGACGUGAAAUCCCCCGGCUUAACCUGGGAACUGCGUCUGAUACUGGACGGCUCGAGUAUGGGAGAGGGAUGUAGAAUUCCAGGUGUAGCGGUGAAAUGCGUAGAUAUCUGGAGGAACACCGGUGGCGAAGGCGGCAUCCUGGACCAAUAUUGACGCUGAGGAGCGAAAGCCAGGGGAGCAAACGGG